AGGAUCUUGAAAGUAAAAAAAUUUGGCAGUAAUUUAAUCUUUUUAGAGGAACCUGUUCUAUAAUUGAUAUUCCACGAUUAAAAAUACUUAUUUUAUUAGUUUAUAUAUCAUUGUUUAGAAUAUUUUAGGAAAAUAAUUAAUAUUCAAUUUAUUUUAUAUAAUUUAAGUUCAAAUCAAGGUGUAGCUUAUAAAUAAGGAGAAAUGGGUUACAUUAAUUAUGGAUUAUAAAUUAUAAAUUUAUAUAAAAUUGGAUUUAAAAGUAAUUUUAUUAAUUUAAUUAAAAUGAUUAAAGUUCUAAAUUAUG
RNAcentral lists this ribosomal RNA (304 nucleotides) under Idiophyes brevis. Its description in RNAcentral is "partial 12S ribosomal RNA". Lineage: Eukaryota; Metazoa; Arthropoda; Insecta; Coleoptera; Endomychidae. The record is from RNAcentral.